UUUUCGUAAUUGUAUUUACAAAAUAUUAUUUAAAGAAAAGGAAAAAAAGAGCGAUUGAGGUCAUUGUUUUUUUUUCGUGGAUUUAGGCAUUUGUAGCU
This 98-nucleotide non-coding RNA is filed under the name Lotharella globosa. Lineage: Eukaryota; Cercozoa; Chlorarachniophyceae. The record is from RNAcentral.